ACGACGGGUAGCCGGCCUGAGAGGGUGUCCGUCCACCCUGGGACUGAGAUACGUCCAGACUCUACGGGAGGCAGCAGUGGGGAUAUUGCACCAUUGGCGCAAGCCUGAUGCAGCGACGCGCGUGGGGGAUGACGGCCUUCGGGAUGUAAACCUCUUUCAGUAUCGACGAAGCUCCGGGAUUUUUCUUGGGGUGACGGUAGGUACAGAAGAAGCACCGGCCAACUACGUGCCAGCAGCCGCGGUAAUACGUAGGGUGCGAGCGUUGUCCGGAAUUACUGGGCGUAAAGAGCUCGUAGGUGGUUUGUCACGUUGUCCGUGAAAACUCACAGCUUAACUGUGGGCGUGCGGGCGAUACGGGCAGACUGGAGUACUGUAGGGGAGACUGGAAUUCCUGGUGUAGCGGUGGAAUGCGCAGAUAUCAGGAGGAACACCGGUGGCGAAGGCGGGUCUCUGGGCAGUAACUGACGCUGAGGAGCGAAAGCGUGGGGAGCGAACAGGAUUAGAUACCCUGGUAGUCCACGCCGUAAACGGUGGGUACUAGGUGUGGGUUUCCUUCCUUUAGGGAUCCGUGCCGUAGCUAACGCAUUAAGUACCCCGCCUGGGGAGUACGGCCGCAAGGCUAAAACUCAAAGGAAUUGACGGGGGCCCGCACAAGCGGCGGAGCAUGUGGAUUAAUUCGAUGCAACGCGAAGAACCUUACCUGGGUUUGACAUGCACAGGACGCCGGUAGAGAUAUCGGUUCCCUUGUGGCCUGUGUGCAGGUGGUGCAUGGCUGUCGUCAGCUCGUGUCGUGAGAUGUUGGGUUAAGUCCCGCAACGAGCGCAACCCUUGUCUCAUGUUGCCAGCACGUUAUGGUGGGGACUCGUGAGAGACUGCCGGGGUCAACUCGGAGGAAGGUGGGGAUGACGUCAAGUCAUCAUGCCCCUUAUGUCCAGGGCUUCACACAUGCUACAAUGGCCGGUACAAAGGGCUGCGAUCCCGUGAGGGUUAGCGAAUCCUUUAAAGCCGGUCUCAGUUCGGAUUGGGGUCUGCAACUCGACCCCAUGAAGUCGGAGUCGCUAGUAAUCGCAGAUCAGCAACGCUGCGGUGAAUACGUUCCCGGGCCUUGUACACACCGCCCGUCACGUCAUGAAAGUCUUUAACUCCCGAAGCCGGUAGCCUAACCCUUGCGGAGGAAGCCGACAAGGAGUAACGUAGAACACUAUGC
This 1207-nucleotide ribosomal RNA is filed under the name Mycobacterium sp. IFP4. RNAcentral's name for it is "bacterial SSU rRNA". It matches the Rfam family "Bacterial small subunit ribosomal RNA", at positions 276 to 1480 of the family's 1533-position model. Lineage: Bacteria; Bacillati; Actinomycetota; Actinomycetes; Mycobacteriales; Mycobacteriaceae. The record is from RNAcentral.